GACGAACGCUGGCGGCGUGCUUAACACAUGCAAGUCGAACGGUGAAGGAAGAGCUUGCUCUUCCGGAUCAGUGGCGAACGGGUGAGUAACACGUGGGCAACCUGCCCUGACUCUGGGAUAACUCCUCGAAAGAGGUGCUAAUACCGGAUACGACCACUUCGGACAUCCGAUGGUGGUGGAAAAGUUUUUCGGUCAGGGAUGGGCCCGCGGCCUAUCAGCUAGUUGGUGGGUAAUGGCCUACCAAGGCGACGACGGGUAGCCGGCCUGAGAGGGCGACCGGCCACACUGGGACUGAGACACGGCCCAGACUCCUACGGGAGGCAGCAGUGGGGAAUAUUGCGCAAUGGGCGAAAGCCUGACGCAGCGACGCCGCGUGAGGGAUGAAGGCCUUC
Molecule: ribosomal RNA, 392 nt
Filed under: uncultured bacterium
Lineage: Bacteria
Description: bacterial SSU rRNA
Rfam family: Bacterial small subunit ribosomal RNA
Source: RNAcentral